RNAcentral lists this ribosomal RNA (468 nucleotides) under uncultured bacterium. RNAcentral describes it as "partial 16S ribosomal RNA". It matches the Rfam family "Bacterial small subunit ribosomal RNA", at positions 28 to 507 of the family's 1533-position model. The record is from RNAcentral.
GACGAACGCUGGCGGCGUGCUUAACACAUGCAAGUCGAACGGAAAGGCCCUGCUUUUGUGGGGUGCUCGAGUGGCGAACGGGUGAGUAACACGUGAGUAACCUGCCCUUGACUUUGGGAUAACUUCAGGAAACUGGGGCUAAUACCGGAUAGGAGCUCCUGCUGCAUGGUGGGGGUUGGAAAGUUUCGGCGGUUGGGGAUGGACUCGCGGCUUAUCAGCUUGUUGGUGGGGUAGUGGCUUACCAAGGCUUUGACGGGUAGCCGGCCUGGGAGGGUGACCGGCCACAUUGGGACUGGGAUACGGCCCAGACUCCUACGGGAGGCAGCAGUGGGGAAUAUUGCACAAUGGGCGGAAGCCUGAUGCAGCAACGCCGCGUGGGGGAUGACGGCCUUCGGGUUGUAAACCGCUUUCGCCUGUGACGAAGCGUGAAUGACGGUAAUGGGUAAAGAAGCACCGGCUAACUACGUG